Molecule: ribosomal RNA, 406 nt
Filed under: uncultured bacterium
Lineage: Bacteria
Description: partial 16S ribosomal RNA
Rfam family: Bacterial small subunit ribosomal RNA
Source: RNAcentral
AUUGAACGCUAGCGGGAUGCCUUACACAUGCAAGUCGAACGAGUGGCGAACGGGUGAGUAAUGUAUCGGAACGUGCCCAGUAGCGGGGGAUAACUACUGGAAACGGUAGCUAAUACCGCAUACCAUCAGAUGUGCCCAGAUGGGAUUAGCUAGUAGGUGGGGGAAUGGCUUACCUAGGCGACGAUCGCUAGCUGGUCUGAGAGGAUGACCAGCCACACUGGAAUGGAGACACGGUCCAGACUCCUACGGGAGGCAGCAGUGGGGAAUAUUGCACAAUGGGCGCAGGCCGGCUGCAGCCAUGCCGCGGGUGUGAAGAAGGCCUUCGGGUUGUAAAGCACUUUCAGCGAGGAGGCGUUACUCGCAGAAGAAGCACCGGCUAACUCCGUGCCAGCAGCCGCGGUAAUUC